UACGUAGGGUGCUAGCGUUGUUCGGAAUCACUGGGCGUGAAGCGCGCGUAGGCGGUUAUUCAAGUCAGGGGUGAAAUCCUAAGGCUCAACCUUAGAAUUGCCUUUGAAACUGUAUAACUGGAGUGUCGGGGGGGAUAGCGGAAUUGCUAAUGUAGCGGUGAAAUGCGUAGAUAUUAGCAGGAACACCGGUGGCGAAGGCGGCUAUCUGGACGACAACUGACGCUGAGGCGCGAAAGCGUGGGUAUCAAACAGG
Molecule: ribosomal RNA, 253 nt
Filed under: uncultured bacterium
Lineage: Bacteria
Description: partial 16S ribosomal RNA
Rfam family: Bacterial small subunit ribosomal RNA
Source: RNAcentral